This 503-nucleotide ribosomal RNA is filed under the name uncultured bacterium. Its description in RNAcentral is "partial 16S ribosomal RNA". It matches the Rfam family "Bacterial small subunit ribosomal RNA", at positions 30 to 523 of the family's 1533-position model. The record is from RNAcentral.
AUUGAACGCUGGCGGCAGGCUUAACACAUGCAAGUCGAGCGGGGUGAUGGUGCUUGCACUAUCACUUAGCGGCGGACGGGUGAGUAAUGCUUAGGAAUCUGCCUAUUAGUGGGGGACAACAUCCCGAAAGGGAUGCUAAUACCGCAUACGUCCUACGGGAGAAAGCAGGGGAUCACUUGUGACCUUGCGCUAAUAGAUGAGCCUAAGUCGGAUUAGCUAGUUGGUGGGGUAAAGGCCUACCAAGGCGACGAUCUGUAGCGGGUCUGAGAGGAGGAUCCGCCACACUGGGACUGAGACACGGCCCAGACUCCUACGGGAGGCAGCAGUGGGGAAUAUUGGACAAUGGGGGGAACCCUGAUCCAGCCAUGCCGCGUGUGUGAAGAAGGCCUUAUGGUUGUAAAGCACUUUAAGCGAGGAGGAGGCUCUUUUGGUUAAUACCCAGAAUGAGUGGACGUUACUCGCAGAAUAAGCACCGGCUAACUCUGUGCCAGCCGCCGCCGUAA